GUGAUUUGGGUUUUUUGUUGAUGUUGAGGCUUCAAGUUUUGAUUUUGACAAUAAUGUUGCUUACUUUGUGAAGCAAUGUCUACAGUGGAGCCUAACAAGUUCCCCUCGCUAUCCAGGGCAGCAAUUUUGUGUUGCACUUGGACGUCGGGGAACUACAUUU
Small nucleolar RNA from Pistacia vera, 160 nucleotides. RefSeq annotates it as small nucleolar RNA snoR136. Lineage: Eukaryota; Viridiplantae; Streptophyta; Magnoliopsida; Sapindales; Anacardiaceae. The record is from RefSeq and is a predicted model, not a curated record. The transcript has a single exon.